Molecule: non-coding RNA, 520 nt
Organism: Lonchura striata (white-rumped munia)
Lineage: Eukaryota; Metazoa; Chordata; Aves; Passeriformes; Estrildidae
Source: RefSeq, a predicted model, not a curated record
CAGUGUCUGUCACUCCAGAGCUGUGCACUAGGAUGAAUGUGGGCAGUUUGAUGGAGUGGACUGAGCAUACACCCGAGGGUGAGACAGGGCACGUAUCUCCACAAGUGUCAUCAACUCUUUCUGGAAUUUAAGGCAGGCAUUGCUAACUGACUGCAAGGCAAUAGGACUGUAUCAGCCGGAUGAGGGCUGCCCAGCAGAGUCCAAGGGAGGCGGCAGGAUGCCAUCUGUCUGAGAGAAGACUCCAACAGAACCCUGGCAUAUUAGGAAGAUUUCUAAUAUGGAAAUAGGCACAGGAGAAUUUCAGAAGUCUCCUCAGGUCUUGCAGAGAUCUCAAGCCUUGGACAUUGCAAUUGUAAAAAGAUUUUGAUCUACUCAUGUCUCUUUAGUGAAUAUCUGACCAAACUAUUAUGAUUUUUCAUAAAUAAGGAAUAGUCUGCUGUCAGGAAUUGGACUUAACAAAUCAGCUAAUGUAAGUUUCCAGACCUUGCAGGACAAAUAAAAAUAUGCCACAGACAGUGUA